This is a long non-coding RNA of Asparagus officinalis (garden asparagus), 916 nucleotides long. RefSeq lists it as uncharacterized. The transcript is spliced from 2 exons. The record is from RefSeq and is a predicted model, not a curated record. Lineage: Eukaryota; Viridiplantae; Streptophyta; Magnoliopsida; Asparagales; Asparagaceae.
UGGAAUGUAAUCAUGUUUCUCCAUUAUAUCUUUUUGUAGAAAAUAGAGGGUGGCAUAUGGUCUUUACAUGAAUCUUGAUGCUAAUAACUGUGACAAGCUUUCAAUGCAGUUAAAUAACCGUUAAUAUAAUAUAGGCAACCAGUGCAUCUUAUAUGAAACAGUAUAUCCAUUCACAUGAUCAAUGCAUUUGCAAGGCGAAAAAAUAUUUACAUUCAUAUAAUCAUUGCAAAUUUAAACAACACACCAGUGUGUACAUGGUACAAAAUUAUACAUGUUUCACAUCUUUUAUCUUACGUUUACAUGUGCACUGAUUUUAUACUGUGUAUGUAUUAGUUAUAUGAAUAUGUGCACUUUGUCUUGUGUUGGACAUGCAAAUGUUAUGUGAAUUUCUGCACUGAUUUACAUUGCACUUGCUGUGGUUACAUGAAGUAGGCGCUGGUUUUAUAUUAUAUCCUGAUAUAUGAUUUUUCUGGGCUCUUCUUCCAGCUAGAACAAAAUUUCACUCAACCGUUAUCUUUACUCAUCCAUCAAUUUUUCAUUCAGGUUUGCCAAUGAUGGGAUGCUUGUGGAAGGCCUGUUCUGGAAAGAUGUAGAAAGACUGAUCGAUGACUACAAUGGAGAUCUCAAGAGUACUGAACUAGCCUCGUUACUACUCACUAACGAAUCUGACAUCAUUUUGGUCGAGGCCUGAACAUAUGGUUGGAUGAGGUAAAAUAUUAAGAACCUUUUAUACAUUACAUGUCUCCAAAUAUUAAGAACCUUUUAUACGUUGCAUGUCUCCCUACCCUUUGGCUAAUUGUUUUGUUUGUGUUUACCGAAUCUACUUAAAGUCAGUAAAAGCAAAAGAAAAGAAACAUGUAAUAUGUAAAUAGUAUUUACUUCUAUGUGACAUGCAUGGUCUCAGCUCUUGCAUGUA